GGCAGUGUGGUGCAGUGGUUUGAGUGUUGGACUAUGACUCUGGAGACUAGGGUUCAAAUCCCCUCUCAGCCA
Non-coding RNA from Phrynosoma platyrhinos (Desert horned lizard), 72 nucleotides. Lineage: Eukaryota; Metazoa; Chordata; Lepidosauria; Squamata; Phrynosomatidae. The record is from the annotation of a GenBank genome assembly.